GGGGAUGCAAUGGUUUCGACGGGGACUUUGAAAUCUGGAAUAGCCGUUGGAGGUGGGAGACUCCUAAAAAGCCCAACUUUUAAAUAAUAAAAGACAAAAAUUUAGAUUUAGUAGCAGCCUAAUGCUGCUCGCUGACCUUGAGCCUUCCGCAGCUUAAGAGUUCAGUGCCGACUUGCGGAGCACUUUUGUCACAAAGCUUUGAGUGAUAAAAAGAUAAAUGAAGCUACCUAAAGCUAUAGCCUGUCUGUCGGCGAUAGCUAAGGGGAAGUUUAAAAGACUGACUAUAACGGUAGAAGUUCUUGACGACGGGUUUUCGGACAGGGGUUCGAUUCCCCUCAUCUCCACU
Molecule: transfer-messenger RNA, 346 nt
Filed under: human gut metagenome
Rfam family: transfer-messenger RNA
About the family: Bacterial tmRNA, also known as 10Sa RNA or SsrA, is named for its dual tRNA and mRNA-like properties. Its role is to liberate the mRNA from a stalled ribosome. To accomplish this part of the tmRNA is used as a reading frame that ends in a translation stop signal.
Source: RNAcentral